Molecule: ribosomal RNA, 815 nt
Filed under: uncultured bacterium
Lineage: Bacteria
Description: bacterial SSU rRNA
Rfam family: Bacterial small subunit ribosomal RNA
Source: RNAcentral
AGUCGAGGGGCAGCACGGUAUAGCAAUAUAUGGGUGGCGACCGGCAAACGGGUGCGGAACACGUACACAACCUUCAGGUGAGCGGGGGAUAGCCCAGAGAAAUUUGGAUUAAUACCCCAUACUAUAAUGAUCAGGCAUCUGGUUAUUAUCAAAGGCUUCGGCCGCUUAUUGAUGGGUGUGCGUCUGAUUAGGUAGUUGGCGGGGUAGAGGCCCACCAAGCCUACGAUCAGUAGCUGAUGUGAGAGCAUGAUCAGCCACACGGGCACUGAGACACGGGCCCGACUCCUACGGGAGGCAGCAGUAAGGAAUAUUGGACAAUGGACGCAAGUCUGAUCCAGCCAUGCCGCGUGAAGGAUGAAUGCCCUCUGGGUUGUAAACUUCUUUUACAGGGGAAGAAAGUUAUCUUUUUUAGGAUAUUUGACGGUACCCUAUGAAUAAGCACCGGCUAACUCCGUGCCAGCAGCCGCGGUAAUACGGAGGGUGCAAGCGUUAUCCGGAUUCACUGGGUUUAAAGGGUGCGUAGGCGGGUAUGUAAGUCAGUGGUGAAAUACCGGAGCUUAACUUCGGAACUGCCAUUGAUACUAUAUAUCUUGAAUAUUGUGGAGGUAAGCGGAAUAUGUCAUGUAGCGGUGAAAUGCUUAGAGAUGACAUAGAACACCGAUUGCGAAGGCAGCUUACUACGCAAAUAUUGACGCUGAGGCACGAAAGCGUGGGGAUCAAACAGGAUUAGAUACCCUGGUAGUCCACGCCCUAAACGAUGAUUACUCGACAUUAGCGAUACACAGUUAGUGUCUGAGCGAAAGCAUUAAGUAAUC